CCCUCAUUUCCUGUGUUGGGGUCACUUCAUUUUUCCUGUCUUGGUUUCCAUAAGAGGCAGUGGACCAGAUGGAGGAGAACUGAAGGAUGAUCUAUCAACUCUCCCUGCAACAUUUGGAGGAUUUUCACUUCCUUUUAAUCAGGAGCAGGCUGUUCUCAGAGGAUCACCUUGCCUCCCACUGCCCUACUUGCUCCCAAAGCAGACAGCGAGAAUUUGAUUUUACUAUCAGAGCUAGGACUGCGGGAAAAGGGCAGCAGGUCGGAAAAAGCUUCCUCCCAUGGCCAGAGGCAGGUGUGAUGACAGCUUCCAGGCUCACUUCUUCCCAGUUUCAUCAGCAGAGUCAAUGGAGUGCCUCUGUACCAACUCCAGACAGGACUCUUAUUGGCUUAAGUUCAUCACGAGUGGAUCUCUCAGGCCAAUCACAGGUGCGGCAUGAUGAUUGGUCCAGCUGGGUCA
RNAcentral lists this long non-coding RNA (456 nucleotides) under Equus caballus (horse). RNAcentral describes it as "lncRNA (ENSECAG00000056906.1)". The record is from RNAcentral. Lineage: Eukaryota; Metazoa; Chordata; Mammalia; Perissodactyla; Equidae.